UUACGGGAGGCAGCAGUGGGGAAUCUUGCGCAAUGCGCGAAAGCGUGACGCAGCAACGCCGCGUGGGGGAAGAAGGCCUUCGGGUUGUAAACCCCUUUCAGUUGGGACGAAGCUUCGUCGGUGAAUAGCCGGCUGGAGUGACGGUACCUUCAGAAGAAGCCCCGGCUAACUACGUGCCAGCAGCCGCGGUAAUACGUAGGGGGCAAGCGUUGUCCGGAAUCAUUGGGCGUAAAGCGCGUGUAGGCGGUCCGGUAAGUCUGCUCUGAAAGCCCGGGGCUCAACCCCGGGAGGCGGGUGGAUACUGCCGGACUAGAGUCCGGAAGAGGCGAGUGGAAUUCCUGGUGUAGCGGUGAAAUGCGCAGAUAUCAGGAGGAACACCGAUGGCGAAGGCAGCUCGCUGGGACGGUACUGACGCUGAGACGCGAAAGCGUGGGGAGCGAACAGGAUUAGAUACCCCCGUAGUCCA
Molecule: ribosomal RNA, 466 nt
Filed under: uncultured bacterium
Lineage: Bacteria
Description: bacterial SSU rRNA
Rfam family: Bacterial small subunit ribosomal RNA
Source: RNAcentral